UACAGAGGUCUCAAGCGUUGUUCGGAUUCAUUGGGCGUAAAGGGUGCGUAGGUGGCGCUGUAAGUCGGGUGUGAAAUUUCGGAGCUUAACUCCGAAACUGCAUUCGAUACUGCGGUGCUUGAGGACUGGAGAGGAGACUGGAAUUUAUGGUGUAGCAGUGAAAUGCGUAGAGAUCAUAAGGAAGACCAGUGGCGAAGGCGGGUCUCUGGACAGUUCCUGACACUGAGCACGAAGGCCAGGGGAGCAAACGGG
RNAcentral lists this ribosomal RNA (252 nucleotides) under uncultured bacterium. RNAcentral's name for it is "partial 16S ribosomal RNA". It matches the Rfam family "Bacterial small subunit ribosomal RNA", at positions 524 to 776 of the family's 1533-position model. The record is from RNAcentral.